CAUAUCGACGGUGGUGUUUGGCACCUCGAUGUCGGCUCAACUCAUCCUGGGGCUGAAGAAGGUCCCAAGGGUUCGGCUGUUCGCCGAUUAAAGAGUUACGCGAGCUGGGUUCAGAACGUCGUGAGACAGUUCGGUCCCUAUCCUUCGUGGGCGCAGGAAAUUUGAGGGGAUCUGCAUUUAGUACGAGAGGACCGGUGCGGACAAACCUCUGGUGUAUCGGUUGUAACGCCAGUUGCAUUGCCGAGUAGCUAAGUUUGGAAUGGAUAACCGCUGAAAGCAUCUAAGCGGGAAGCCAACCUCAAGAUAGAUUUCCCAUGAGAUACGUUGGAGACUACAACGUUGAUAGGUCACAGGUGUACGCACAGCGAUGUGUUCAGCCGAGUGAUACUAAUAUGUCAAUUGCCUUAAUUUUUUUAUUUU
Molecule: ribosomal RNA, 420 nt
Filed under: Candidatus Cloacimonadota bacterium
Lineage: Bacteria; Pseudomonadati; Candidatus Cloacimonadota
Description: partial 23S ribosomal RNA
Rfam family: Bacterial large subunit ribosomal RNA
Source: RNAcentral